ACGGAAGGCAGCAGUGAGGAAUAUUGGUCAAUGGGCGGAAGCCUGAACCAGCCAAGUCGCGUGAAGGAUGAAGGUAUUAUGUAUUGUAAACUUCUUUAGCUGUGGAGCAAUAAUCGCCAUGCAUGGCGAGAUGAGAGUACACAGAGAAUAAGGAUCGGCUAACUCCGUGCCAGCAGCCGCGGUAAUACGGAAGGUCCGGGCGUUAUCCGGAUUUAUUGGGUUUAAAGGGAGCGUAGGCGGGCUUUUAAGUCAGUGGUAAAAGCGUGUGGCUCAACCAUACCACGCCAUUGAAACUGGAAGCCUUGAGUGCACACAGGGAUGCUGGAAUUCGUCGUGUAGCGGUGAAAUGCUUAGAUAUGACGAAGAACUCCGAUCGCGAAGGCAGGUGUCCGGGGUGUAACUGACGCUGAGGCUCGAAAGUGCGGGUAUCAAACAGGAUUAGAUACCCUGGUA
This 453-nucleotide ribosomal RNA is filed under the name uncultured Paraprevotella sp. Its description in RNAcentral is "partial 16S ribosomal RNA". It matches the Rfam family "Bacterial small subunit ribosomal RNA", at positions 341 to 792 of the family's 1533-position model. Lineage: Bacteria; Pseudomonadati; Bacteroidota; Bacteroidia; Bacteroidales; Prevotellaceae. The record is from RNAcentral.